AGGUUUUGGACAGUGAUUUUAACCCUAACGCCAAAAAACUUAAACCUUACCCUAGCCCCAAAACCUAAUACCCGGGUGUUACCUUCAGGAAGCCCGAACACCCCAAAUAUUUCUUUUUCAUUUUACAAUUUUUUUUUUGGUUUAACUUACUCCAAAAGGUUGGAAAGGAGUUCCUACAAAGGUUUUGGACAGUGAUUUUAACCCUAACGCCAAAAAACUUAAACCUUACCCUAGCCCCAAAACCUAAUACCCGGGUGUUACCUUCAGAAAGCCCGAAAACCCCAAAUAUAUUUUUUUUCAUUUUUCAUUUUUUUUCUGGUCUAACUAACUCCAAAAGGUUGGAAAAGAGUUCCUACAAAGGUUUUGGACAGUGAUUUUAACCCUAACGCCAAAAACCUUACCCUAGCCCCAUAACCUAAUACCCGGGUAUUACCUUCAGGAAGACCGAACAUCCCAAAUAUUUUUUUUUCAUUUUUUGUUUUAUUUUGGUCUAACUAACUGUUCUGUCUUGGCUAAAUGUGGUACACUUGAACGUCUACUUAGCUGUACAGAGAGCUAAACACUCUCCUGAUCAAACUUAAAAGAACAGGCCGUUGGGUUGACUUUCGUUGUUUAAUCAAGAAAAGUGUAAAACUGUUGGAAACAGAAAAUACAAUAAUAUAUAACAAACAUUUGCAAAACAUAAUUGCAUACAUCUAAAAACAUUAUAGAAAACAUAAAAAACUUACAGACGAUGCCUUUUGCAAACUUUGAAGGCGUGAAUGGCGAGAUGGCUGCUGCCGUGUGCUCCUCUGAAGGUGUGGCUUACAAAAUGGCCGCCACCAUGUGCUCUAACCAAAAUACUGAGCCAAGAGGAAGUGACCCACAUGGGACUUCCUGUCUCUAAUACUGACAAAAUAAAAUACAUAAUACGACCACUAGGGCGCAAUAUAUAUAAAAAAUAAUAAGCCAUCACACUCCCCACCUGGCAUCUCAAGGAUGUCACACUCAAGAAGACUUGACUGAGUCCUUUUGUAUCAGGAGUAUGACUUCAGACACUGGCCGUAAGAACAGUUUUGCCACACUGUCUCUGAUGAUCUUCACCUCAACCUUCCUGACCUUUCCGUCAUUACUUGGAAAGGUCCUUGUGAUUAGUCCUGUGGGCCAGUCGUGCCUCUUCACUGAGUUAUCCUUUAACAGGACAACAUCUCCGUCCAUCAGAUUAGGCCUCUCCAUUCUCCAUUUUGGCCUGCCUUGGAGACCGCUGAGGUACUCCCUCCUCCAUCUCUCCCAGAAUGUGUUGGCUAAACUUUGAACCUGUCGCCACUGACGUUUGAAUAGGUCACCAGUGUCAAAGUCGCCAGGAGGGACUGGGGGCAUCCCAGUCUUCUGCGUCAGCAGCAUAGUAGGGGUUAGGAUGUGAGGCUCGUCAGGAUCUGUAGACACAGAAGUAAGUGGUCUGGAGUUGACUAUAGCAGUGACUUCUGCCAUAAACGUAGUCAAGACUUCAUGUGUGAGCUUCGCAGACCCGGACUUGAGGAACAUAGCAUCGAGGAUCCGACGUGCGACCCCGAUCAUCCGCUCCCAGCUGCCCCCCAUAUGCGAAGAGUGAGGGGGAUUGAACAGCCACACACAACCCUGGUCAGAGAGAUACUGGGAAAUCGUCUUGUUAUCACACCCCUUGGAGUCAAUCUCAAGUUCUCGGCAGGCUCCUAUGAAAUUAGUUCCGCAAUCGGACCGAAGUUGUUUCACAGGUCCCCUAAUUGCGAAGAAGCGCCGAAGGGCGUUAAUAAAACUGGAUGAAUCCAUCGAUUCGAUGACCUCAAUAUGUAUGGCACGCGUGCUCAUACACGUGAAGAUGAUGGCCCAACGCUUGCUGUUCGCUAGUCCCCCACGUGUCCUCCUCGAGGUGACACACCAUGGCCCGAACACAUCCAGCCCUACAAAGGUGAACGGGGGGUCUGUGCUCAAGCGGUCAGCGGGAAGAUCCGCCAUCAUCUGCUCUUGCUGCUUGCCGCGCAGUCUCCGACAUGUCACACAGUUGUAAAUCAAGCUGCUGACAGACCGCUUCCCUCCGACAACCCAAAAACCAGCACUCCUUAAUGCUCCUUCUGUUAAGUGCCGUCCUUGGUGGCAGACGUGCUCGUGGUAAUGUCUGAUGAGCAGCGUGGCAACAUGGUGUUUGCCAGGGAUGAUGAUUGGCUGACUUUCAUCCGGUGUGAGCUGCGCCUUCUUCAAUCGCCCUCCGACACGCAGAAGACCUUCAGAAUCAAUGAAAGGGCAAAGGUCACUGAGGGCACACUGUUUCGGCACUGGUUCUCCCUUCUGGAUCCAGUUGAUUUCCUCAGAAUAGGCCUGUCUUUGGACAGCAAGAAUGAUUCUGACCUUUGCCUGAUUUAGCUGCUCUGGACUGAGGGGCAGCUUGCAGCUGUGCCAUCCAUGGCAGGGGCCGUCUUUUGCCGCUUUUGUGAAGGAAUAGGCAAUGUGAGAGAGUCGGGCAACGGCUCUGGAGAGCGACUUCCAACUCGAAAACCGCUUGAAGCGUUCACUGUCAAGCUGAUGUGACAAACGUGUGGCACACGUCACUGCUUCUGGACGUAUUUCCACAUCUGAUCCAGGGUCAACCAGGUUGAAGGCUUCCUGUUGCAAGUGGCCCUGCCGCUUGUCCACAAGGAAAACUGGUCCAGUUAACCAAGAUGAAGCCGCAAGCUGAUUGGCAGGUAUGGCUCUGGUUGCAUGGUCGGCGGGGUUGACAUCAGAGGGAACAUAGUUCCAUUGGUCUUUGUUGGUUGAACGUCUGAUUCGUUGCACUCGGUUAUGAACAUAGACAUAAAACCGUCUUGAGUCGUUGAAUAUAUAGCCAAGUACCACCUUGCUAUCUGUGAAAAACCUGAUGUCGUCAACCUCCAUGUCCAGCUCUGCAGUUAUAGCCUCUGCUACUUCUACUGCUAGAACGGCUGCGCAGAGCUCAAGCCUUGGGAUGGUGAUGUCAGGCUUAGGAGUCAACUUUGUUUUGCCAAACAGGAAUCCAACUUCGCUAUGUCCCAUAGCAUCUGUGGCCUUCAGGUAGGCGACGACAGCAAUAGCUUUAAUUGACGCAUCGCAAAAGAUGCAGAUCUCUUUCCUCUGAGCUGUGGAGAGUGGGAUUGAAGUGUAGAUUCUUGGGAUCUUCAACACUUUUAAAUCUUCAAGAGAGGCACACCACCUCUGCCACUUCUCGAGCUUCUCCUGAGGGAGUGGCGCAUCCCAUUCACAAGUGUCGACAGUUAGUUCUCUCAAGAUGGCACGACCCUGAACACUGACGGGAGCAGCAAACCCCAAUGGAUCAAACAAGCUGUUGAUGAUAGACAACACACCUCGACGUGUAAAGGGUUUUUCAGCAACAGCAACUCGGAAAGUCAGCGAGUCUGUGGCAAGAUCCCAUCCGAGACCCAGACUGCGCUGUAUUGGGGGAGAGUCCUGACCCAUGUCCAGGUCUUGUAGGCUGCUUGCCAGGUCCUCAGUCGGAAAAGCUCUGAUAACCUCAACACUAUUAGAGGCGAUCUUGUGUAGUUUGAGGUUGGAUUGAGCCAACAUGUCCUGUGCACCUUUUAGUACCUUGAUGGCAUCUUCUGCACUGGGGAAAGAUUUCAGGCCAUCGUCGACGUAGAAGUGUCGGUGCAUGAAGGUCGUCACUUCUGGUCCAUAGUCCCCUUCGCCUUCCAUGGCUGUCCUCUUCAGACCAUAAAUGGCCACAGCCGGUGAGGGACAAUUACCGAACACAUGAACCCUCAUGCGAUACUCCAACACUUCAUCAUCAAGUUGGUGGUUGCGAAACCACAAGAAUCGGAGGUGGUCCCGAUGAUCCUCUCUCACUAGGAAGCUGUGAAACAUCUGUUGGAUGUCCGUCAUCACAGCUACCGGAUCCAUCCUGAAACGCAUGAGGACUCCCAGUAAGGUGUUGUUGAGGUCUGGGCCCUGCAAGAGUACAUCGUUCAAUGAUAUGCCCUUGAACUGCGCGCUUGAAUCGAAGACGAUCCUUAUUUUCCCCGGUUUCUGGGGGCGGUAGACACCGAAGGUAGGUAAGUACCAGUACUCUUUGUCAGGCUCUGGUGGAGGAGCUGGCUCAGCAUGUUCAUUCCUAAAGAUCUCUUCCAUGAAGUCCACAAAAUGACGCUUCAUCUCCGGUUUCCUGUUUAAGGUGCGGCGGAGUGACAUCAGCCGGCUGAGGGCUUGCUCCCGGUUAUUUGGCAAACACGGCCUUGGACAGCGAAAUGGGAGGGGAGCCACCCAGCUGUUGGAAUCAUCCUUCUUGAAUCCCUCGUUCAUGAUCUGAAGGAAGAUUUCAUCCUCGAUGGAGGGCGCAAGCUUUUCAUCAUCUUUCGAGUGGCUGAAGAUCUGCUGGCCCAAACCUGGCUGGGUGGAGGUCAAAGUGGUAGGAGAUGUGGGCUGCCCCCCACCAACUUUGUCCUUGAACACGAUUCUGUUCUCACAAGGCUUGAAGUAACUGGGACGCCCAUUCUCAAGGACAUGGGUCUUGAAUGUAUUGACAGUUGGUCGGUGGGCCCCAUCAAGGCAGACGUCGCCAACUAUGACCCAACCCAGAUCCAGCAGCUGGGCAUAGGGCUCAUCAUGAUGACCAUUGCGCUGGCUACGCACCUUAUGUACUCGGAUGAUGUCUCUGCCAAGUAGUAAAAGUAUCUGAGCCGAAUGGUCGAGAGGGGGGAUCUUGUCAGCUAUCGGUUUGAGAUGCUUGUGGCUAUGUGCAGCCUCCGGAGUAGGGAUUUCGUCCCUGUUGUCGGGAAUAAGGUUGCACUCGAUAAGGGUUGGUAAUGAAAGAUGAAGCUCCCCAUCAGCUGACUCCACCACGAAUCCAGUAGCCCUCCUUCCAGCGGUGUCUGUGACUCCUGAGCACGUUUUGAGGGUGUAGGGGGAGGCCUCACUCUGGAUACCAAACAUGUCAAAGAACACUGAUCUGGCUAGUGACACAUUGCUUUGGUCGUCUAGCAUCACAUAUGUCCUGAUCUUUUGAUCAGGGUGUCCCUUCGGAUAGACAUUAACCAGACAGAUUUUCGAACAAGAUUUACCUUGUAGACCCUCGCCACAAACCUCUGUGCAUGAAGUGGUAGCUACGUCCGUGACACAUGCAGUAGGCUCCCCACCAUGCUCUGCAGUAGGUUCCCCACCAGGCUCUGCAGUAGGUCCGUCGGAACUCGUUGCCCAAGGUGCAGGUCCUGGAUGGAGUGCUGAGAUGUGUCGUUCACUGUCACAUUCUGAGCAACGGGUUUCAGCUUUGCAAACCUUAGCCUGGUGCUUUGUUGAAGCACAACAUUUGAAACAUAUGGAGUUCUCUAACAAGAAGCGUCUCCGCUCUAUGAGUGAUUUCUCCCGAAAACCUCGACAUUUCUUGAGGGAAUGAGGUUUCUUAUGGAGAGGACAUUGUCUGUCUGGAUCCAUGACAGGUUCUUCGGAUGUGUGAAAAGUGGAGGGUUUUCCUACUUCAGUUUUAGUGACUGAUAUCGGAGGUCUGGUUUUCCAGUGUUUGUCCGAACACCCAUCACCUUUGGACGCAGCUGAGCUGGAAAAAGCAAAGCUAGGAUCAUUCCUCAUCUCAGCAUAGUUGUAGACGAAAUCUACGAAGAAUGAGAAAGGGGGGUAUGGAACCAGAUGGUCUCUCUUAUAGCGAGAUCCCACACUCAUCCACUGUUCUUGGAUGUUGAGAGGCAGUUUCUCUACGACAGGGUUUAUUCCCCUUGCUGUAUCAAGAAACCCAAGUCCUGGCAAGUAACCCUCUUGUUUUGCAGCUUCAAUCUCUAGGAGCAGGUCUCCAAGCUCCUGAAACUUCCGGUGAUCUUUGUUUGAAAGCUUUGGGAACAGAUCUAAUCUUUUGAAGAGAGAAGCUUCAAUAACCUCUGGAGAGCCAUAGGUCUUGUCCAGCCUCCGCCAAACCAUGUCCAAACCCAUGGCUGGAUUGUUAACGUGAACUGCUCUUAUCCUCUUGGCAUGGUGUAGUGACUCCCCACCAAGCCACUUGAUGAGCAAGUCCAGUUCUUCACUUGGUUUGAGGUUUAGUCCUUCCAUAGCAUUGUUAAAGCUAGAUUUCCAAGACAGAUAACUAGCAGGCUGGUUAUCGAACACUUUAAGUCCAGCUGUGACGAGAUCUCGGCGAGCCAGAUAUACAGCUAAUGCAGAUACACCUUCAGCCUCUGGUUGUGAACGGUGUGGACGGUAGCUAGCAUAAUCUGUGUGACGCUGCUUAUGGUGGCUUGUAGUAUUUUCUGCUGUGUGAUAGGCUGGAGCACCAGAGAUAUUUUUUCUCUGAUUGGUUACCCUCGGAGCCUGAGCAGGAGGCGCUCGAGCGGGAAGAGCCUGAGCAGGAGGAGCUCGAGCAGGAGGCGCUCGAGCGGGAGAAGUCUGAGCAGGAAGACCUCGAGCAGGAGGAGCCAGAGGUUCUGGCUGCCGCAUGUCGCGAUAUUCAAUGUCUGAAGGGUGACUGGGUUGUAGCACAGGAAAAUCCUCAUUCUCUUUAGCAAUUGGAGCUGAAGCAUAGCUCGCACGACUCGAGAGGUUUAAAUGUGCUUGGACGUACUCACCAGUGCACUGUAGUGAGUCCUUCAAUGACUGAGCACGACUGGCUCUAUCUUCUAGAUCACAGUUCGUGGAAUCCAAGGCUGCUUCAUACACGUCAGCCUCUGCUGAGGCAGCCUCGGCUUCGCACUCUUCCUUAAGUGCAUUCAAUGAAGCUUCUAUGCGUGCCUUCUCCACUUGCAUAUUUAUUUGACGUUUUGCAUAGACUGCUCGUGUGCGUGCCGCUUCUGCCUUGGCACGAGCUCGAGCAGCAAUAACACUGGCUGAAGACUUAUUCGAGCGGCUUGAAGACGAUGAAGCCGAUGCACCACAUUCUGACCUAACCUCCAGAUCCUUAGCGUCAAUAGCAUCGGGGCUAGGGCUUGACAUUGUUGUGUAGGAGAGGCAGCUAUAUGAACAAUCUAUGUGAAGCAACUCUUGCUGUUGUAGACGUUAGCUGAGCAAUGUGCCAUUGAUAUUUCUUCACAGCUUGUUGAUGGUUCGUCUUUUUACUGUUCUGUCUUGGCUAAAUGUGGUUCACUUGAACGUCUACUUAGCUGUACAGAGAGCUAAACACUCUCCUGAUCAAACUUAAAAGAACAGGCCGUUGGGUUGACUUUCGUUGUUUAAUCAAGAAAAGUGUAAAACUGUUGGAAACAGAAAAUACAAUAAUAUAUAACAAACAUUUGCAAAACAUAAUUGCAUACAUCUAAAAACAUUAUAGAAAACAUAAAAAACUUACAGACGAUGCCUUUUGCAAACUUUGAAGGCGUGAAUGGCGAGAUGGCUGCUGCCGUGUGCUCCUCUGAAGGUGUGGCUUACAAAAUGGCCGCCACCAUGUGCUCAAACCAAAAUACUGAGCCAAGAGGAAGUGACCCACAUGGGACUUCCUGUCUCUAAUACUGACAAAAUAAAAUACAUAAUACGACCACUAGGGCGCAAUAUAUAUAAAAAAUAAUAAGCCAUCACACUAACUCCAAAAGGUUGGAAAAGAGUUCCUACAAAGGUUUUGGACAGGGAUUUUAACCCUAACGCCAAAAACCUUAAACCUUACCCUAGCCCCGUAACCUAAUACCCGGGUAUUACCAUCAGAGAGCCCGAAAACCCCAAAUAUUUUUUUUUUCAUUUUUCAUUUUUUUCUGGUCUAACUAACUCCAAAAGGUUGGAAAAGAGUUCCUACAAAGGUUUUGGACAGUGAUUUUAACCCUAACGCCAAAAACCUUAAACCUUACCCUAGCCCCAUAACCUAAUACCCGGGUAUUACCUUCAGGAAGACCGAACACCCCAAACAUUUUUUUUUCAUUUUUCGUUUUUUUUAGGUCUAACUAACUCCAAAAGGUUGGAAAGGAGUUCCUACAAAGGUUUUGGACAGUGAUUUUAACCCUAACGCCAAAAACCCUAAACCUUUUACUAGCCCCAUAACCUAAUACCCGGGUAUUACCUUCAGGAAGACCGAACACCCCAAAUAUUUUUUUUUUCAUUUUUUGUUUUAUUUUGGUCUAACUAACUCCAAAAGGUUGGAAAAGAGUUCCUACAAAGGUUUUGGACAGUGAUUUUAACCCUAACGCUAAAAACCUUAAACCUUACCCUAGCCCCAUAACCUAAUACCUGGGUAUUACCUUCAGGAAGCCCGAACACCCCAAAUAUGUUUUUUUGUUUUUGAUUUCUUUUCGAUCUAACUAACUCCAAAAGGUUGGAAAAGAGUUCCUACAAAGGUUUUGGACAGUGAUUUUAACCCUAACUCCAAAAACAUUUAAACCUUACCCUAGCCCCAUUACCUAAUUCCCGGGUAUUACCAUCAGAGAGCCCGAAAACCCCAAAUAUUUUUUUUUUCAUUUUUCGUUUUUUUCUGGUCUAACUAACUCCAAAAGGUUGGAAAAGAGUUCCUACAAAGGUUUUGGACAGUGAUUUUAACCCUACCGCCAAAAACCCUAAACCUUUCACUAGCCCCAUAACCUAAUACCCAGGUAUUACCUUCAGGAAGCCCGAACACCCCAAAUAUUUCUUUUUCAUUUUACAAUUUUUUUUUUUUUGGUGUAACUAACUCCAAAAGGUUGGAAAAGAGUUCCUACAAAGGUUUUGGACAGUGAUUUUAACCCUAACUCCAAAAACAUUUAAACCUAACCCUAGCCCCAUUACCUAAUACCCGGGUAUUACCAUCAGAGAGCCCGAAAACCCCAAAUAUUUUUUUUUUCAUUUUUCAUUUUUUUCAGGUCUAACUAACUCCAAAAGGUUGGAAAAGAGUUCCUACAAAGGUUUUGGACAGUGAUUUUAACCCUAACGCCAAAAACCUUAAACCUUACCCUAGCCCCAUAACCUAAUACCCGGGUAUUACCUUCAGGAAGACCGAACACCCCAAACAUUUUUUUUUCAUUUUUCGUUUUUUUUAGGUCUAACUAACUCCAAAAGGUUGGAAAGGAAUUCCUACAAAGGUUUUGGACAGUGAUUUUAACCCUAACGCCAAAAACCCUAAACCUUUUACUAGCCCCAUAACCUAAUACCCGGGUAUUACCUUCAGGAAGACCGAACACCCCAAAUAUUUUUUUUUUCAUUUUUUGUUUUAUUUUGGUCUAACUAACUCCAAAAGGUUGGAAAAGAGUUCCUACAAAGGUUUUGGACAGUGGUUUUAACCCUAACGCUAAAAACCUUAAACCUUACCCUAGCCCCAUAACCUAAUACCUGGGUAUUACCUUCAGGAAGCCCGAACACCCCAAAUAUGUUUUUUUGUUUUUGAUUUCUUUUCGAUCUAACUAACUCCAAAAGGUUGGAAAAGAGUUCCUACAAAGGUUUUGGACAGUGAUUUUAACCCUAACUCCAAAAACAUUUAAACCUUACCCUAGCCCCAUUACCUAAUUCCCGGGUAUUACCAUCAGAGAGCCCGAAAACCCCAAAUAUUUUUUUUUUCAUUUUUCAUUUUUUUCUGGUCUAACUAACUCCAAAAGGUUGGAAAAGAGUUCCUACAAAGGUUUUGGACAGUGAUUUUAACCCUACCGCCAAAAACCCUAAACCUUUCACUAGCCCCAUAACCUAAUACCCAGGUAUUACCUUCAGGAAGCCCGAACACCCCAAAUAUUUCUUUUUCAUUUUACAAUUUUUUUUUUUUUGGUGUAACUAACUCCAAAAGGUUGGAAAAGAGUUCCUACAAAGGUUUUGGACAGUGAUUUUAACCCUAACGCCAAAAACCUUACCCUAGCCCCAUAACCUAAUACCCGGGUAUUACCUUCAGGAAGACCGAACACCCCAAAUAUUUCUUUUUCAUUUUACUUUUUUUUUUUCUGGUCUAACUAACUCCAAAAGGUUGGAAAAGAGUUCCUACAGAGGUUUUGGACAGUGAUUUUAACCCUAACGCCAAAAACCCUAAACCUUUCACUAGCCCCAUAACC
Molecule: long non-coding RNA, 9908 nt
Filed under: Xyrichtys novacula (pearly razorfish)
Lineage: Eukaryota; Metazoa; Chordata; Actinopteri; Labriformes; Labridae
Source: RNAcentral